RNAcentral lists this ribosomal RNA (1830 nucleotides) under Triticum aestivum (bread wheat). RNAcentral's name for it is "partial small subunit ribosomal RNA". The record is from RNAcentral. Lineage: Eukaryota; Viridiplantae; Streptophyta; Magnoliopsida; Poales; Poaceae.
AUGAGGCCCAUCUCGAUGCAAGGGGAGUAUACCGUUAUGCAAGAAACUUGUGGGGGUGCCAUGUUAUCCGCAUCGACACACUUGUAUUACUCAAUGCAUUGGUCUACCUAUUCCUUGGCACUUUUGGGUCCCAACGCCGCCGCUCCAGAAACUGGUUCAUCCAAAAAGAUUAACGAGUUGAUGGUUUCCUGCAAACCUAAGCGUAAAUGUGGUGGUUUCUUGCAAUUGACUCCAGCUUAUAGUCUUGAUGACAACAAACACGUAACGAGGGUCAUGUACCGGUUGGUGCUCUACUGUAUCUAUGGGCUGUUGCUUCUGAGUGUGAGUACAAACGAGACUUAUAUCAUCUCUCUUUAUUUGUUUGCUGUUGGUCAAUACAAAAUCAUUUAUGUACAAACGCCAUGUGUGCUGGUAAGCCGCUCAUGGAAUUUGAAUAAAAUGGUCGCUGAUUACAUGUAUGAGGAGCACACCAAAGGUGAAUUUGUUCCAGCCACCAUGAAGGGUUGCCAUUACCUGGUUGAUUGGCCCCUCGACAAAUCCAAGUUGGAUGCUCCAUCAUAUGCAUCACGAUUUACAGCAGAAGACAAUCAAGUCAUUGACAUAGACAAGAUAUGGUUGUGCAAUGACAGUUCACUGGACCAAGAUCUAAAGGAUACGUGCCUUUCCUUCUCUCUUUUUCAUCUGUUGAGGAGGCGCUACUUUGGGUUUACCUGUGGUGAAUCCAAAGAAAGGGCACAUGAUUUCGUCUUCAAGGGGCUGCUACGGGAGAAUGAAGAAGGCACCACAAACUGCAACCGGGCUUUUAGGUUGAUUGAGAUUGAGUUAGCCUUUAUGUAUGAUUUCUUCUUCACCACAUCUGCUGCCAUUUAUUAUGCAUCAACGGCCGCAACAGUUUCACCCUUGAUUUCUUCCUUUUUACUAUGUCUGUCAAUACAAUGGAUAUUCGUCUGGGAACCAUCGCUCAUACAAGAAGGUGAAAUGAAGAUCACUAAUACAGUUACCACCUUAUUCAUACUUGCAUCUGCUGCUUUGCUUGAAUUGCUUCGACUGCUGCUUUACUGGACUGGCAUUUGGAGCAGGGUGUCCUUUGUCUGUCAGUAUCUCAGAGAACAAACAAGAUUGAGCACAAGGGGAAGCUGCUGCUCCUGCUCCUUCUCUUGCUGCUGCUGCUGCAUGCUGCUAAAAUUGAAAGGGCUUCUUGCUAGAAUUGGUGUGCAUUGCUCACCAAACAAACACUAUUGGCAGCACAAGCUUGGGCAGUAUUCUUUACUUGAUUACCGUCCUACCUUCUGUGGCAAGAUCAAGGAAUGUUUGGGUAAAGUAACAGAAGUACAUGCAGCCACAUAUGUAUUGCCUUUCCUCCAUCCAAUUGACAAACACACGCGGAGGGUCCGUCAAAAAUUUGGGAAAUCUAUAGAGUUAACCGCACAAGUACAUAAGGCAAUUAUUUACUCCCUCAAACGAUCCAAUGGUGAACUGACGAAUGGAAAAUCAUCACUAGUGUCCAACAGAGCAGGGCACCUUUUAUGGGCUUGUGAACGGGGCGUGCACUCAGAAUCGGACACAAGCUGCAUCAUUCUGACUUGCACAUUGCAACAUGGUACUGCGAGAGAGGGACGCUUGGAUGUGGCCCUCGCCCGGAUGAGGGAACCGAGCUCAAGAUCCAUCUUGGUGUUGCCACAAAGCUGUCGAAAUACUGCGCAUACCUUCUGGUCUCCGCACCAAAACUUCUUCCAGGGCACGAAUAUGAUACAAGUCGUGUGUUCGAUGCAGUGGCAGGGGAGGCCAAGAGAUUUCUGCCAUAUGGGAGGGAUAAAUAUCAAGCACUGA